CUGCAGCUGCUCAGCCUCAACAAGGAUCUGUAGGGAACAGAGAACAGAGGACUGCGAUAGAGCAUCAUCUGCUGUCUCAGCUGGGCAGUGCUGCAGGAUCCCCUUGAAUGCCAUUGAAUGCCAUCCCCCCUGAUGCCAUUCAGAUGUGCAUACCACGCUGCCUGGAUGGAUAGGGUCUUAAAUGCUGGGCAAGCUGCAAAAGGGUGAUCUACUGUAACAUCUACCAAGCCUGCAAGCAAGGAAGAGCAUUGUCCUGAGCUUUCAUUUUGCAGCUGAUAAUGUCAGAUGAACCAGCAAUGCCCGUGUCCACUCCUGGGAAAUACAUCACAGGCCACAGGAGCAGCCCAGGAAGAGUGAUGGAACACAAAAGAGCUUAUGGCAUGAGGUACAGUUCUCCAAGUACUGAGCAGAUACCUUCUUAGCUCCAGCACUGAGGAGUCCAUGUUAAUGUGAGGAAUGAGUCUUUGGAGGUUGCCUUAGGCAUCCACAUUUAUUUUACAUCCAGAAAACUCAUAACUAGUCCUAUCUACCUACCCCUCUCCUUCUCAGAAGCACCCUGAUGGGCUAUGGGUUUGCAGAUAGAGAAGCCAUUUCUUUC
Molecule: long non-coding RNA, 598 nt
Filed under: Anas zonorhyncha (Eastern spot-billed duck)
Lineage: Eukaryota; Metazoa; Chordata; Aves; Anseriformes; Anatidae
Description: lncRNA (ENSAZOG00000009073.1)
Source: RNAcentral